CUUGUGUCUUUCACAUUCCCAGAUUCUUAAGCAGAAUAUAGGAGCAGGUGUGGGAGGAGAAGUCAGAGCUGCAGAUCAGAAACUAUCCUGACACUGGCAUGCAUCUUCUCCUUGAUCUCUCAGGAAAAGCUUAAAAUGAGAUGAUAUCAGCACACAAGACAUGUCUUUGGAAUGGGGGUACACUGAGGAAAACCCCAAAGCAUGGAAUGAACAUGCAAACUCCAUGUAUGCAUGGGUCUACCCUGAGGUCAGAUGAGCUCAGUGAUGAAGGGCUUUGCUGCACUGGAUGGACAGUUGACUGGUGGAUGCAGUAAAACCCUCUGCUGACAUCCAACAGAUUAAGAAUAUGACUGGAUAAAAGUCUUCAUCGAUUUCUUUUGCUCUAAUCCAGCAGGAGAGUUCCAAUGAAGUUCCACAUGACCCACUGAACAUUUUCUCAGUUGUUUUCCAAACAAAAUGAAGUUUCUUAUCUGUUCUGCUUUCACAAUGUAACAGUGGGCAUCUCAUCUCUGUUCAAAUGUGUUUUACUUCUCUGUGAAACAUUAUAUACUUUGGUUUUCCUUUCAAUAUUUGCAGCGGUGAAGAUGUUCCUCCAGCUUAGAGACUGUCGGGUUUGACAGAUUGCAGCCAGAGUUGGCUUGAAUACCUAACAGGUGAAUAAAACGUACAUAAUCCAGCAAGUUACCACAACACACAAAGUUUGCAUGCGUGGCUCAAUCACUCUGGCAUUUGUUACUCUGACAUUUCCAGCCUAAUUCCGACCUAAUUUAUGUCCCAGAAAACAGAACAGAAAGCCAGCUGCCUUGAACAAACACAUAAAGGCACUGACUGUAUAAUGCAAAACCAAAACUACAAACAAUGAAACAUUAAAGAUCAAUAACGGAUGAGGCAGACAUGACAGAGAUAGUUUUACAUAGUUCUAUUCAAUUUUCCAACAUAAGACAGUACAGUAAAAGAAAUGUUUACUUUUAACUUACACUGUUUACUUGCACUUUUAUUAUUAAAUAAUAAGGAAUCCUUAAAUUAUUAGGAUUUAUAUUAGCAUACAGAAGUUAGCAAGUAACAUAUUUAGGGUCAGAUUAAUAAAUUUGACAGUAAAUAAAUAAAUUAAUUAAUUUAUACUGUUACUGUGGUGUAAACUGAAAUAAGGCAGGAAUUUCAUGGUGAUUGAAUGUCACAGUGAAAAAGCUGUGGGAGCAUUAGCAAGAAGCUUUAACACCAGUACAAUGUUGUUGUUCCUCUGGACAUGAGAAAUCCUAUCAUUAAAUGGCUUCUUCACCAUCCGCUCUAAAAUACCAGUCUCUGGGAGAAGAUCUGGAAACUGCUCAUCAGUCAGGAAAUUUGACAGAAUUAGUCUAAUUUAAGAUGUGAAUCAGAUACAUGCUAAGAUGAGGUUAAGCACAUUUUGCAAGGAUGACCAUAGACAAGAAAAUAAAGCAAAUAAAGCAAGAAAAUAAAACAGAGCCAACAAUGCUGACUUGCUACAACCUAAGAAUGAGGCAAGGGCAUUGCCUGAGCUACUAUUCAUUGUCUAGAACUGAGUUUGAAAUUACAAUCCCCCAAGCAUAACAUUAUGACCACCUGCCUAAUAUUGUGUUGGUCCCCCUUUUGCUGCCAAAACAGCCCUGACCCUUCAUGCACUGUGUAUUCUGACACUUUUCUAUCAGAAUCAAACCCUUACAUUUGCCCAUUUUCCCUGCUUCUAACACAUCAACUUUGAGGACAAAAUGUUGCUGGCACUUGCUGCCUAAUAUAUCCCACCCACUAACAGGUGCCAUGAU
This is a long non-coding RNA of Hemibagrus wyckioides, 1781 nucleotides long. RefSeq lists it as uncharacterized. The record is from RefSeq and is a predicted model, not a curated record. Lineage: Eukaryota; Metazoa; Chordata; Actinopteri; Siluriformes; Bagridae. The transcript is spliced from 3 exons.